RNAcentral lists this transfer RNA (56 nucleotides) under Rhodotorula taiwanensis. RNAcentral's name for it is "tRNA-Val". The record is from RNAcentral. Lineage: Eukaryota; Fungi; Basidiomycota; Microbotryomycetes; Sporidiobolales; Sporidiobolaceae.
GAGGGUCGAACUCGCGGCCUUCUCUGUGUGAAAGAGAUGUGAUAACCACUACACCA